RNAcentral lists this ribosomal RNA (440 nucleotides) under uncultured bacterium. RNAcentral's name for it is "partial 16S ribosomal RNA". It matches the Rfam family "Bacterial small subunit ribosomal RNA", at positions 338 to 795 of the family's 1533-position model. The record is from RNAcentral.
CCUACGGGAGGCAGCAGUAGGGAAUAUUGCUCAAUGGGGGAAACCCUGAAGCAGCAACGCCGCGUGGAGGAUGAAGGUUUUCGGAUCGUAAACUCCUUUUGUUAGAGAAGAUAAUGACGGUCUCUAACGAAUAAGCACCGGCUAACUCCGUGCCAGCAGCCGCGGUAAUACGGAGGGUGCAAGCGUUACUCGGAAUCACUGGGCGUAAAGAGCGCGUAGGCGGGAUAGCAAGUCAGAUGUGAAAGCCUAUGGCUUAACCAUAGAACUGCAUUUGAAACUGUUAUUCUAGAGUAUGGGAGAGGUAGGUGGAAUGCGUGGUGUAGGGGUAAAAUCCGUAGAGAUCAAGAGGAAUACUCAUUGCGAAGGCGACCUGCUAGAACAUGACUGACGCUGAUGCGCGAAAGCGUGGGGAGCAAACAGGAUUAGAUACCCCUGUAGUC